This 301-nucleotide ribosomal RNA is filed under the name uncultured bacterium. RNAcentral describes it as "partial 16S ribosomal RNA". It matches the Rfam family "Bacterial small subunit ribosomal RNA", at positions 509 to 807 of the family's 1533-position model. The record is from RNAcentral.
CAGCAGCCGCGGGAAUACGUAGGGUGCAAGCGUUAAUCGGAUUUACUGGGCGUAAAGCGUGCGUAGGCGGCUUUUUAAGUCGGAUGUGAAAUCCCUGAGCUUAACUUAGGAAUUGCAUUCGAUACUGGGAAGCUAGAGUAUGGGAGAGGAUGGUAGAAUUCCAGGUGUAGCGGUGAAAUGCGUAGAGAUCUGGAGGAAUACCGAUGGCGAAGGCAGCCAUCUGGCCUAAUACUGACGCUGAGGUACGAAAGCAUGGGGAGCAAACAGGAUUAGAUACCCCAGUAGUCCCUGUCUCUUAUAC